CCUACGGGGGGCAGCAGUGGGGAAUAUUGGGCAAUGGGCGCAAGCCUGACCCAGCAACGCCGCGUGAAGGAAGAAGGCUUUAGGGUUGUAAACUUCUUUUCUCAGGGACGAAGAAAGUGACGGUGCCUGAGGAAUAAGCCACGGCUAACUACGAGCCAGCAGCCGCGGUAAUACGGAGGGGGCAAUCGUUAUCCGGAUUUAUUGGGUGUAAAGGGAGUGUAGGCGGGAGCUCAAGUCCGAUGUGAAAACUCAGGGCUCAACCCUGAGCCUGCAUUUGAGACUGUGUUUCUUGAGUGCUGGAGAGGCAAGCGGAAUUCCGUGUGUAGCGGUGAAAUGCGUAGAUAUACGGAGGAACACCAGUGGCGAAGGCGGAUUGCUGGACAGUAACUGACGCUGAGGCGCGAAAGCGUGGGGAGCAAACAGGAUUAGAUACCCCUGUAGUC
This 443-nucleotide ribosomal RNA is filed under the name uncultured bacterium. RNAcentral's name for it is "partial 16S ribosomal RNA". It matches the Rfam family "Bacterial small subunit ribosomal RNA", at positions 338 to 795 of the family's 1533-position model. The record is from RNAcentral.